GUGGGGAAUUUUGGACAAUGGGCGCAAGCCUGAUCCAGCAAUGCCGCGUGCAGGAAGAAGGCCUUCGGGUUGUAAACUGCUUUUGUACGGAACGAAACGGUCCGGGUUAAUACCCUGGGCUAAUGACGGUACCGUAAGAAUAAGCACCGGCUAACUACGUGCCAGCAGCCGCGGUAAUACGUAGGGUGCAAGCGUUAAUCGGAAUUACUGGGCGUAAAGCGUGCGCAGGCGGUUUUGUAAGACAGGCGUGAAAUCCCCGGGCUCAACCUGGGAAUCGCGCUUGUGACUGCAAGGCUGGAGUGCGGCAGAGGGGGAUGGAAUUCCGCGUGUAGCAGUGAAAUGCGUAGAUAUGCGGAGGAACACCGAUGGCGAAGGCAAUCCCCUGGGCCUGCACUGACGCUCAUGCACGAAAGCGUGGGGAGCAAACAGGAUUAGAUACCCUAGUAGUCC
RNAcentral lists this ribosomal RNA (450 nucleotides) under uncultured bacterium. Its description in RNAcentral is "partial 16S ribosomal RNA". It matches the Rfam family "Bacterial small subunit ribosomal RNA", at positions 354 to 796 of the family's 1533-position model. The record is from RNAcentral.